RNAcentral lists this ribosomal RNA (369 nucleotides) under uncultured phototrophic eukaryote. Its description in RNAcentral is "SSU rRNA". It matches the Rfam family "Bacterial small subunit ribosomal RNA", at positions 524 to 896 of the family's 1533-position model. The record is from RNAcentral.
UACGGGGGAUGCAAGCGUUAUCCGGAAUCAUUGGGCGUAAAGCGCCUGUAGGUUGUUUACUAAGUCCGUUGUUAAAGACUAGGGCUUAACCCUAGAAAAGCAAUGGAAACUAUUAGACUAGAGUAUGGCAGGGGUAGAGGGAAUUUCUAGUGUAGCGGUGAAAUGCGUAGAUAUUAGAAAGAACACCGGUGGCGAAAGCGCUCUACUGGACCAUUACUGACACUCAGAGGCGAAAGCUAAGGUAGCAAAAGGGAUUAGAUACCCCUGUAGUCUUAGCUGUAAACGAUGGAUACUAGAUGUUGUGCAAUAUGUACAGUAUCGUAGCUAACGCGUUAAGUAUCCCGCCUGGGGAGUACGCUCGCAAGGGUG